Molecule: ribosomal RNA, 1370 nt
Filed under: Chaetothyriales sp. CR08/2-2
Lineage: Eukaryota; Fungi; Ascomycota; Eurotiomycetes; Chaetothyriales
Description: eukaryotic LSU rRNA
Rfam family: Eukaryotic large subunit ribosomal RNA
Source: RNAcentral
GUUGACCUCGGAUCAGGUAGGAAUACCCGCUGAACUUAAGCAUAUCAAUAAGCGGAGGAAAAGAAACCAACAGGGAUUGCCUCAGUAACGGCGAGUGAAGCGGCAACAGCUCAAAUUUGAAAUCUGGCCUCACGGUCCGAGUUGUAAUUUGUAGAGGACGUUUUGGGCACCGCUCCGGGUUAAAUUUCUUGGAACAGAAUGUCAAAGAGGGUGAGAGUCCCGUCUUGGCCCGCGGUAGGACCUAUGUAAAACUCCUUCGACGAGUCGACUUGUUUGGGAAUGCAGGUCAAAAUGGGUGGUAAAUUUCAUCUAAAGCUAAAUAUUGGCCAGAGACCGAUAGCGCACAAGUAGAGUGAUCGAAAGAUGAAAAGCACUUUGAAAAGAGAGUUAAACAGUAUGUGAAAUUGUUGAAAGGGAAGCGCUGGCAACCAGACUCGAGCGCGGUGUUCCCCCUUGCUUCUGCCUGGGUUAUUUCACCGUGACCGGGCCAUCAUCAGUUUUGGGGGUUGGUUAAAGAUUUGGGGAAUGUAUCCUCUCCUUCGGGGGAGGACUUAUAGCCCUGGAUGUCAUGCAGCCUCCCGGGACUGAGGAACGCGCUUCGGCGAGGAUGAUGGCGUAAUGGUUGUCAGCGACCCGUCUUGAAACACGGACCAAGGAGUCUAACAUCUAUGCGAGUGUUCGGGUGUCAAACCCUUGCGCGGAAUGAAAGUGAACGGAGGUAGGAAGGCUUGAGCCUGCACUAUCGACCGAUCCUGAUGUCUUCGGAUGGAUUUGAGUAAGAGCAUAGCUGUUGGGACCCGAAAGAUGGUGAACUAUGCGUGAAUAGGGUGAAGCCAGAGGAAACUCUGGUGGAGGCUCGCAGCGGUUCUGACGUGCAAAUCGAUCGUCAAAUUUGCGUAUAGGGGCGAAAGACUAAUCGAACCAUUGGUAAUCACUACUAGGUGGUUAAGAGUCGUGUGUGAAAAGCACCGGCUAGUCGCGAGUCCGCGGCAAGGUCGUCAAAUUGCGGGAACACCCUAAAGCCUGAGGUACCGCCGACCGUCCCGAAAGGGCGUGGAGGCACCACGGAGAGAUUUCGUGGGUACGGUAACAAUCCAAGGGAUGGUCCAAGGUUCAAAACCCUGGACCGCUGUAAUGGGCAAUCCGCAGCCAAGCCUGUUUCCCUCCCCUCCCCGGGGGAAAGGAGAUUGGGUGCAGUUCAUCGACUAGAUGUCGACCGGGUUCCAGGCCCAUCGCAGCCUGGAGCCUCAAGAUAUAGUCAGGCCCUCGGGGAGACCCGAGCGGAGGAACAAAGUAAAGCGGGUCGGACUCUUUUUCACACAAGAAGCCCGCUGUACCCGAAUUCCUCCUGGCCGGUCUUUGAGAGGCCG